This is a long non-coding RNA of Nothoprocta perdicaria, 222 nucleotides long. RefSeq lists it as uncharacterized. Lineage: Eukaryota; Metazoa; Chordata; Aves; Tinamiformes; Tinamidae. The record is from RefSeq and is a predicted model, not a curated record. The transcript is spliced from 3 exons.
CUUGCUUACCACCUAGACUAAAGAGUUCCUGUCCUGUAUGUUAUUUUGGAAAUGUGAAACAUGCUGAAGCUACUUAUCCUUUCCAGUGGAGAAGCCUGCAGAUGGAGCUAAAAUGGCAGUACACCUGAUUCUGGUUCCUCCUUCAUGAGACCCUCCAGCUAGAAUUCUUCCAGGUGGUUGCUGCUUCUCUCUGGGUCAUCCAAAGUUCUGCUACUCAUGCUA